GGUUAAGCGACUAAGCGUACACGGUGGAUGCCCUGGCAGUCAGAGGCGAUGAAGGACGUGCUAAUCUGCGAUAAGCGUCGGUAAGGUGAUAUGAACCGUUAUAACCGGCGAUUUCCGAAUGGGGAAACCCAGUGUGAUUCGUCACACUAUCAUUAACUGAAUCCAUAGGUUAAUGAGGCGAACCGGGGGAACUGAAACAUCUAAGUACCCCGAGGAAAAGAAAUCAACCGAGAUUCCCCCAGUAGCGGCGAGCGAACGGGGAGGAGCCCAGAGCCUGAAUCAGUGUGUGUGUUAGUGGAAGCGUCUGGAAAGGCGCGCGAUACAGGGUGACAGCCCCGUACACAAAAAUGCACAUGCUGUGAGCUCGAUGAGUAGGGCGGGACACGUGGUAUCCUGUCUGAAUAUGGGGGGACCAUCCUCCAAGGCUAAAUACUCCUGACUGACCGAUAGUGAACCAGUACCGUGAGGGAAAGGCGAAAAGAACCCCGGCGAGGGGAGUGAAAAAGAACCUGAAACCGUGUACGUACAAGCAGUGGGAGCACGCUUAGGCGUGUGACUGCGUACCUUUUGUAUAAUGGGUCAGCGACUUAUAUUCUGUAGCAAGGUUAACCGAAUAGGGGAGCCGAAGGGAAACCGAGUCUUAACUGGGCGUUAAGUUGCAGGGUAUAGACCCGAAACCCGGUGAUCUAGCCAUGGGCAGGUUGAAGGUUGGGUAACACUAACUGGAGGACCGAACCGACUAAUGUUGAAAAAUUAGCGGAUGACUUGUGGCUGGGGGUGAAAGGCCAAUCAAACCGGGAGAUAGCUGGUUCUCCCCGAAAGCUAUUUAGGUAGCGCCUCGUGAAUUCAUCUCCGGGGGUAGAGCACUGUUUCGGCAAGGGGGUCAUCCCGACUUACCAACCCGAUGCAAACUGCGAAUACCGGAGAAUGUUAUCACGGGAGACACACGGCGGGUGCUAACGUCCGUCGUGAAGAGGGAAACAACCCAGACCGCCAGCUAAGGUCCCAAAGUCAUGGUUAAGUGGGAAACGAUGUGGGAAGGCCCAGACAGCCAGGAUGUUGGCUUAGAAGCAGCCAUCAUUUAAAGAAAGCGUAAUAGCUCACUGGUCGAGUCGGCCUGCGCGGAAGAUGUAACGGGGCUAAACCAUGCACCGAAGCUGCGGCAGCGACGCUUAUGCGUUGUUGGGUAGGGGAGCGUUCUGUAAGCCUGCGAAGGUGUGCUGUGAGGCAUGCUGGAGGUAUCAGAAGUGCGAAUGCUGACAUAAGUAACGAUAAAGCGGGUGAAAAGCCCGCUCGCCGGAAGACCAAGGGUUCCUGUCCAACGUUAAUCGGGGCAGGGUGAGUCGACCCCUAAGGCGAGGCCGAAAGGCGUAGUCGAUGGGAAACAGGUUAAUAUUCCUGUACUUGGUGUUACUGCGAAGGGGGGACGGAGAAGGCUAUGUUGGCCGGGCGACGGUUGUCCCGGUUUAAGCGUGUAGGCUGGUUUUCCAGGCAAAUCCGGAAAAUCAAGGCUGAGGCGUGAUGACGAGGCACUACGGUGCUGAAGCAACAAAUGCCCUGCUUCCAGGAAAAGCCUCUAAGCAUCAGGUAACAUCAAAUCGUACCCCAAACCGACACAGGUGGUCAGGUAGAGAAUACCAAGGCGCUUGAGAGAACUCGGGUGAAGGAACUAGGCAAAAUGGUGCCGUAACUUCGGGAGAAGGCACGCUGAUAUGUAGGUGAGGUCCCUCGCGGAUGGAGCUGAAAUCAGUCGAAGAUACCAGCUGGCUGCAACUGUUUAUUAAAAACACAGCACUGUGCAAACACGAAAGUGGACGUAUACGGUGUGACGCCUGCCCGGUGCCGGAAGGUUAAUUGAUGGGGUUAGCGCAAGCGAAGCUCUUGAUCGAAGCCCCGGUAAACGGCGGCCGUAACUAUAACGGUCCUAAGGUAGCGAAAUUCCUUGUCGGGUAAGUUCCGACCUGCACGAAUGGCGUAAUGAUGGCCAGGCUGUCUCCACCCGAGACUCAGUGAAAUUGAACUCGCUGUGAAGAUGCAGUGUACCCGCGGCAAGACGGAAAGACCCCGUGAACCUUUACUAUAGCUUGACACUGAACAUUGAGCCUUGAUGUGUAGGAUAGGUGGGAGGCUUUGAAGUGUGGACGCCAGUCUGCAUGGAGCCGACCUUGAAAUACCACCCUUUAAUGUUUGAUGUUCUAACGUUGGCCCGUAAUCCGGGUUGCGGACAGUGUCUGGUGGGUAGUUUGACUGGGGCGGUCUCCUCCUAAAGAGUAACGGAGGAGCACGAAGGUUGGCUAAUCCUGGUCGGACAUCAGGAGGUUAGUGCAAUGGCAUAAGCCAGCUUGACUGCGAGCGUGACGGCGCGAGCAGGUGCGAAAGCAGGUCAUAGUGAUCCGGUGGUUCUGAAUGGAAGGGCCAUCGCUCAACGGAUAAAAGGUACUCCGGGGAUAACAGGCUGAUACCGCCCAAGAGUUCAUAUCGACGGCGGUGUUUGGCACCUCGAUGUCGGCUCAUCACAUCCUGGGGCUGAAGUAGGUCCCAAGGGUAUGGCUGUUCGCCAUUUAAAGUGGUACGCGAGCUGGGUUUAGAACGUCGUGAGACAGUUCGGUCCCUAUCUGCCGUGGGCGCUGGAGAACUGAGGGGGGCUGCUCCUAGUACGAGAGGACCGGAGUGGACGCAUCACUGGUGUUCGGGUUGUCAUGCCAAUGGCACUGCCCGGUAGCUAAAUGCGGAAGAGAUAAGUGCUGAAAGCAUCUAAGCACGAAACUUGCCCCGAGAUGAGUUCUCCCUGAGACUUAGAGUCUCCUGAAGGAACGUUGAAGACGACGACGUUGAUAGGCCGGGUGUGUAAGCGCAGCGAUGCGUUGAGCUAACCGGUACUAAUGAACCGUGAGGCUUAACCUU
RNAcentral lists this ribosomal RNA (2904 nucleotides) under Escherichia coli 536. RNAcentral's name for it is "bacterial LSU rRNA". It matches the Rfam family "Bacterial large subunit ribosomal RNA". The record is from RNAcentral. Lineage: Bacteria; Pseudomonadati; Pseudomonadota; Gammaproteobacteria; Enterobacterales; Enterobacteriaceae.